RNAcentral lists this ribosomal RNA (427 nucleotides) under uncultured bacterium. Its description in RNAcentral is "bacterial SSU rRNA". It matches the Rfam family "Bacterial small subunit ribosomal RNA", at positions 356 to 773 of the family's 1533-position model. The record is from RNAcentral.
CGAGAGGCUUCUACAAUGGGGGAAACCCUGAUAGAGCGACGCCGCGUGGGUGAUGAAGGUCUUCGGAUCGUAAAACCCUUUCAGCAGGGAAGAAGGGAUACGGCGCUAAUAUCGCCGCGUCCAGGACGGUACCUGCAGAAGAAGCUCCGGCUAACUCCGUGCCAGCAGCCGCGGUAAGACGGAGGGAGCAAGCGUUGUUCGGAUUUACUGGGCGUAAAGGGCGUCUAGGCGGGCCAGCCAGUCAGGUGUGAAACCCCCCGGCUCAACCGGGGAUCUGCACUUGAUACUGCUGGUCUUGAGUACGGAAGAGGAAGGCGGAAUUCCUGGUGUAGCGGUGAAAUGCGUAGAUAUCAGGAAGAACACCGGUGGCGAAGGCGGCCUUCUGGUUCGAUACUGACGCUAAAGCGCGAAAGUGUGGGGAGCAAAC